Molecule: ribosomal RNA, 273 nt
Filed under: uncultured bacterium
Lineage: Bacteria
Description: partial 16S ribosomal RNA
Rfam family: Bacterial small subunit ribosomal RNA
Source: RNAcentral
UACAGAGGUCUCAAGCGUUGUUCGGAUUCAUUGGGCGUAAAGGGUGCGUAGGUGGCGCCGUAAGUCAGGUGUGAAAUCUCGGGGCUUAACUCCGAAACUGCAUUUGAUACUGCGGUGCUUGAGGACUGGAGAGGAGACUGGAAUUUACGGUGUAGCAGUGAAAUGCGUAGAGAUCGUAAGGAAGACCAGUGGCGAAGGCGGGUCUCUGGACAGUUCCUGACACUGAGGCACGAAGGCCAGGGGAGCAAACAGGAUUAGAUACCCUGGUAGUCC